CCUACGGGAGGCAGCAGUGGGGGAUAUUGCACAAUGGGGGGAACCCUGAUGCAGCGACGCCGCGUGGGUGAAGAAGCGCCUCGGCGCGUAAAGCCCUGUCAGCAGGGAAGAAAAUGACGGUACCUGAAGAAGAAGCCACGGCUAACUACGUGCCAGCAGCCGCGGUAAUAAGUAGGGGGCAAGCGUUAUACGGAUUUACUGGGUGGAAAGGGGGCGCGGACGGCGCUGCAAGCCAGGAGUGAAAGCCCGGGGCCCAACCCCGGGACGGCUCUUGGAACUGCGUGGCUGGAGUGCAGGAGGGGCAGGCGGAAUUCCUGGUGUAGCGGUGAAAUGCGUAGAUAUCAGGAGGAACACCGGUGGCGAAGGCGGCCUGCUGGACUGCAACUGACGUUGAGGCCCGAAAGCGUGGGGAGCAAACAGGAUUAGAUACCCCAGUAGUC
Molecule: ribosomal RNA, 440 nt
Filed under: uncultured bacterium
Lineage: Bacteria
Description: partial 16S ribosomal RNA
Rfam family: Bacterial small subunit ribosomal RNA
Source: RNAcentral